AUCCAAAUAAGCUGAAAACGUUUGAAAUAAAGAGAAAAAACUCAGCAAAUGGAAUUCAGGUGUAAUCUUAUUAUUAUUACUGGUAAUUAUUAUUUAACAAUCUAAAAACCAACAAUAUAUUAUCAACAAACAAACAACAAUCAUUUUUGCCAACAGAUGGCACUAUAUGUAAAGAAGAUCCAGCUGGUUUAGAAUUGAAAGAAGCCCGAGGAAGAACCCAAAAGGUGUUAUGAAAACAUUCGAUAUUCAAGAGUUAAUCUUAAUUCACACCGGUUAAUAAUUGAAAGAAUGAUGUGAUUAAAUCUCUUGACUGUAGCUUCCGGGAAAUUUUGAACUUAACAAUUGAAUGUAUUUGAAAUAAUAAAAUUUAUUAAAGAUUUAUAUUUAGUGCAAAACUUACAUCUGUAAUGAAAUAUAAUUUCACCAGAAGUGUCUAAUCGCUAGUUGCAGAUAAUACUUGAUAGUAAAAAUAUUAAUCUAAUUAUUAAUCAGAUAUAUCUUAAGUGUAUAUAAACAAAGUCGUUCAUAUACAUUUCUCCAAAGUAUGCAUUCAUUUUCAUUUAUGCUUGAAUUCCAUUUAUGAAUUACAAUACAUUUUUGAAGAUGAAACACGAAAGACACUUGAACUAUAAAUCAC
Long non-coding RNA from Centruroides sculpturatus (bark scorpion), 637 nucleotides. RefSeq lists it as uncharacterized. Lineage: Eukaryota; Metazoa; Arthropoda; Arachnida; Scorpiones; Buthidae. The transcript has 3 exons. The record is from RefSeq and is a predicted model, not a curated record.